This 143-nucleotide non-coding RNA is filed under the name Candidatus Omnitrophota bacterium. RNAcentral's name for it is "Omnitrophica WOR c-di-GMP sequence". It matches the Rfam family "c-di-GMP-I-GGC riboswitch aptamer". The record is from RNAcentral. Lineage: Bacteria; Pseudomonadati; Candidatus Omnitrophota.
GCCGAUAAAGGUAAACCCGGGGAAACCCGGGGACGCAAAACCACAGGCCUACAUUGUCUAAGACCUGGAAGGCCCAUGAGAUAACAGGGCAUAAAAGACUGGAUGAUGGGUCGAGGGGCAAUACGGUGGCUGGGUUGCCGAAG